Molecule: RNA transcript, 1667 nt
Organism: Pimephales promelas (fathead minnow)
Lineage: Eukaryota; Metazoa; Chordata; Actinopteri; Cypriniformes; Leuciscidae
Gene: znf414
Gene name: zinc finger protein 414
Source: RefSeq, a predicted model, not a curated record
GCAACGGGAACGUAUGUUCUCGCGAUAUUUAGAGAUGAACGUACCGCACGUAGCGAGGCUGGAAACGCGAUCUAGCUAGGUUUGAAUUAACGUCUAUUUUUGAAGAAGCUUUGAAAACCUCGCGAAAUAAAUUCAUAUCUGAAGGACCGAUCCCACUACCUCAUAUCUAAGAAAUCACCAUGGAAGGCUGUCAAAUGUCCUGCUCGUUUUUUGGGUGCAAGAGGACCUACAACAGUCCAGAAGCACUGAAUAGUCAUCUACAGGAUCAUCAAAAGAACACUGCCCAGUCUCUUCCAGGGAAAACUUUCCUGUGCUCUCAUAUAGGAUGCGAUGGUUCAUUCAACAACAUGCAACAGCUCAUGGAACAUAUGAGACACCAUUACAAGCCAAAUUAUUUUUUCCUGUGCGAAAGCUGCAGGGCCAAACUGCGUUCUUAUCGCACUCUCCUCAAACACCUGCAGACCUGUGCCAAGGUUGCUAAGAACAAGGCUGCAGUAAAGAUAGAGACUGGAAUGGCACCUGACGCAGAGCCCGCCAGUGUUCCUCUCACUUCUGGUGACAUGGAACCAUCUGGACCCCUCUUAUCCGCCAAUGUGCCAGAGGAGAUGGAGUCUAUGCCAUCUAUGCCCACUUUGGCAACACAUCCAACACUGGCAAACAUGUCAGAAAACAGUGCUUUCACUAACCCAACCCCUCCAGGCCCUGCAACUUUGCUCCUUGCCACUCUAAAUCUCGCCUCAAACCAAAAUCUUCCUUGCAAACCAGAAUCCCCCUACAGCCCUUUUCCACCCACUCUGUCUCCUGUUAACCCAGUCUUCCUGCCAGAUCCGGGCCUACAGCAGCAGCAGAGAUCUCCCAGGUCUGGUCCUCCCAGUCUGCCCUCUUCACCACCCCUGCCGUCAUCGCCAGGAUCAAACGCUGUCUGGAGGAAGAACCAAGAACCGCCCGGGCCCCUUUUGCACAGAUGGAACUCUCCAAGCAGUCAGAGUUUAAGUAGAGAUGAAGUCCAGGUCAGUCCUUCAACUGCCGCAUCCUGUGGGAACACACAAGAGGGCGAUACAGCUGCCUACAGUGUGGCCACUGCACCCCAGACCGGGGGGAGAUGACUGCUCACAUUGACAGCCAGCACAAGAACCCGGGGGGCAAAGUGAACGGUGAUCCUGAUUCAGAGAAUGGCACUGCUUCUUUACUGGCUAAGACUUCACUGCACACUGAGAACUCAACUUAUACACAACUCUAGCAUGAAAUCAGACAUGAAAACUGAUGAUUGACAAAUAACUUUUCUUAAAGCUUUUUAUAUAUGCAACUCAAUUUUUUCAUUUGAGUCUGUGUGGACUUCAAGAAUCUCUAUUGGUCUGGAUGUUAUAAUAACAAUUAGCACUAAAUUCUGCAUGUCUUUGUCAGUAAUCUAGGCUUACAAAAAGUCUUGUUAGUUUUCAUUAAAUAAUUUGAAAUUGCAUAAAAAUAACUAGUAAUGUUGUACCAUUAUGUUACUAAGGUUUUUUUUUUCAUACCUAUUUGCAGGAGGCUGUAUCCAUACAGUAUCCAGAACAGUUGUCAUGUUUAUAAAAAUAAAUCUUGGCCACUUGUUAUUGUGUAAGAAUAAAAAAAACAGUUGUUUCUGUGGUGUUUACUACCUGCAAAUAAAACAUGUUAGGACAUUUUUU